This 473-nucleotide ribosomal RNA is filed under the name uncultured bacterium. RNAcentral describes it as "bacterial SSU rRNA". It matches the Rfam family "Bacterial small subunit ribosomal RNA", at positions 29 to 506 of the family's 1533-position model. The record is from RNAcentral.
AUGAACGCUGGCGGCGUGCCUAACACAUGCAAGUCGAGCGGAGAUAUCACGCGUAGCAAUACAAGUCUUAUCUUAGCGGCGGACGGGUGAGUAACACGUGAGUAACCUGCCUUCAACUGGGGAAUAACACCGUGAAAACGGUGCUAAUACCGCAUAAAGUUGUCUUAUGGCAUCAUAGGACAACCAAAGGAGCAAUCCGGUUAAAGAUGGACUCGCGUCCGAUUAGCUAGUUGGUGAGGUAACGGCCCACCAAGGCGACGAUCGGUAGCCGAACUGAGAGGUUGAUCGGCCACAUUGGGACUGAGACACGGCCCAGACUCCUACGGGAGGCAGCAGUGGGGAAUAUUGGGCAAUGGGCGAAAGCCUGACCCAGCAACGCCGCGUGAAGGAAGAAGGCCUUCGGGUUGUAAACUUCUUUGAACAGGGACGAAAAAAAUGACGGUACCUGAAAAACAAGCCACGGCUAACUACGU